AUUUAAGUAAUUUAAAAAAAAUUUUGAUUUGUGGAAUCAAAUAUAUAAGUUAAUCUUAUCUUAAAUU
This 67-nucleotide transfer RNA is filed under the name Carabidae sp. BMNH 1274270. RNAcentral describes it as "tRNA-His". The record is from RNAcentral. Lineage: Eukaryota; Metazoa; Arthropoda; Insecta; Coleoptera; Carabidae.